Molecule: unclassified non-coding RNA, 206 nt
Filed under: fungal sp.
Lineage: Eukaryota; Fungi
Description: partial internal transcribed spacer region
Rfam family: Eukaryotic small subunit ribosomal RNA (bases 1-46)
Source: RNAcentral
AAGUCGUAACAAGGUUUCCGUAGGUGAACCUGCGGAAGGAUCAUUAACAAUUUCAUUAUGAAAACCCGACCGGUGGCCAUGGCUGCUGGUCCGUGCGUGUCUGUGGCUAGUCCUUGGACUGGCCGUGGCCGCACAACAAACUAUAGUAGGUUAUGUGAGUUAGUAUACAACGAAAACAACUUUUAACAGUGGAUCUCUUGGCUCCU